This 253-nucleotide ribosomal RNA is filed under the name uncultured bacterium. Its description in RNAcentral is "partial 16S ribosomal RNA". It matches the Rfam family "Bacterial small subunit ribosomal RNA", at positions 524 to 776 of the family's 1533-position model. The record is from RNAcentral.
UACGUAGGUGGCAAGCGUUGUCCGGAUUUAUUGGGUUUAAAGGGUGCGUAGGCGGUUUUGUAAGUCAGUGGUGAAAUAUGGCAGCUCAACUGUCAGGGUGCCAUUGAUACUGCGGAGCUUGAGUACAGAUGAGGUAGGCGGAAUUGACGGUGUAGCGGUGAAAUGCUUAGAUAUCGUCAAGAACACCGAUAGCGAAGGCAGCUUACUGGGCUGUAACUGACGCUGAGGCACGAAAGUGUGGGGAUCAAACAGG